This is a long non-coding RNA of Siniperca chuatsi (mandarin fish), 2507 nucleotides long. RefSeq lists it as uncharacterized. The record is from RefSeq and is a predicted model, not a curated record. NCBI's taxonomy places the organism in Eukaryota, Metazoa, Chordata, Actinopteri, Centrarchiformes, Sinipercidae. The transcript is spliced from 3 exons.
CUUUUUAGUUCAUUUUUCCUCUCUACUGAUUUUUAAUAUAUAAUUCUACAUAUGUACCUUUUAUGUUGAUGUCUGUGUUUGUGAUAUAUAUUGUUCUUGUUCUGUGUGUACUUUAUGUUUUCCAGUGAAGCUGGAGGGGAAAAUACAUGACGUAUAUUACGGGUUUGCAUGUUAAGAGUUUUCACAGGUGGAUAUAAAUCUCAUCAGGCCUCUGCGUCCUCACACAAACACUAAAGUCUGAAAGGAAAUCGUUCAUCGUUUCCCCCAAAACAUAAAACAAUCUCCAAUCUGUUCUGUGGAAACACCCAGUCUUCACCUGUUUAUAAUAAUAUACAACUCCUCCAACAGUCAUUCCUGGAUUUACACCAGAAACAGCAAAAAACACAGCUUUACUUGCAAAAACAGCGAAACUAUAAUUUUUUAUUAUUCAAAAAACACUCUGCGUUGGCCGGGAAUCGAACCCGGGUCAACUGCUUGGAAGGCAGCUAUGCUAACCACUAUACCACCAACGCCACCGACGAGUGACGCCAUUGAUCAGCUGGACACAAUAAUAAAAACACGUCACUGAUCUGAUCUGAUUCUUUUUAUUUAAACAUUUAUUCAGAUUUUAUUGCAAGAAUCGAUUAUUCUUAUUAUAGAUAUAAUAAAUAAGUUUGUGCAGAAGGAAAAGCAGUGGUGGAAGAACAUCAUGCAGGGGAGGCCGUAUUUCUCGGGGACAAUUCAUGUUAGAAGAUUCUAACAAAUAUAACUAAUACAUAUGUUUUAAUGUACACAAAUGUUUUUUAAAAGUAGGUGAUUCGUGAUUAAAGUCAUGUUGUGUGUUUGUGCCAAACAGCCCCAUCACCAUGUUAAAAUGCUAUAGUUAAUGCUAGUGUGUGUGUGACAGCUAAAGUUAGCAAUUGGUAGCGAUUGUGGUCAAGCUAGCAAAUAUGAAAUAAAAUAUUAACAAAUAUAAUAUAAAAUUAUGAAAUGUGAUUCAAUGUUAAGCAACAUAAAGUGAUAUAAAUACCAUUUGUAUACUUUUACCUCGACCAUUUCCUUAAAGGGACAGUAACCACAACAGUAGCCCCCCCACCUUCGUGAUGCAAUUAUGUUAGCAAGCUACAUCACAUAUCAAAAUGUAGCUGAUUCCUGUCUACUGACUAGAAGUAAAACAUUUCCAAUAUCUCUAUCUUGACAUUUAUUGAUGACAUGAUAUUCAGACAUACAGAUUUCUACACAGCUGAAACACAUCAAACACGUUUUGCUCAGUUUUCUGUUCUCCUAAUUGUCAUGGUUUUGGGUUUUGUCCUGUUAUUUCCUGUUUUAUUUUGUAAUAUUCUCCCUCUUGUGUCUAGUAGUUUUGCUUCCUGUCUUUGAUUGCUUUCACUGGUUCCACCUGCAUCUCGUUGUCUCCCCUACCUGAGUGUGUUUCCUUUGAUCAGUGUCAGAUCAUCGUUGUACCAUGUGUCCUGCGUUUAAUCCGUAGCCCUGCAGUUUUCCUGUGCUACCUGUGGAUUUACCUUUUUUUGGACGUUUACCUGAACUUCUCAGCCGUCCUCAGUUGUUUUGUCUUCUUUCAUAGAGAAAAGAGGCCGUUGUGUGCCUCCUCGUCAAGAAACUCACUUUAUGGAAAAAUCUGAACUCCCACCAGAACUCCGAUAUAACCUGUGUACAACCUGGACCAAACUGGUGAAAAAGUAAUGAGCCCCGGCGGAGCUCCUCUCUCUGUCAGCUUCAUCAACAGCAGCUAUUUCCAUCUGUAACACAACACAAGGCCCGACCCCAGGGGCUUCUGUGGACACUCGGACACUCUGGAGGCUCUAACCAGCUUCACUAACGGCCUAAUUAGCACACUCUGCAUCACAGGGAAUCAUGGGAGGACACUCUGCUGUCGCCAUGGUUACUGCUGAAAACAGCAGCUUCAGGCCUUCAUUUGGGGUGUUUGUUUUUUAUCCUCUAGGACUUCCUUCUUGCAUCCCGUGUCAUUACAUGUUACGUGAGAUUUGAUUUUGGCCCGCUGACCCCAUUUUACUAACAGGAAGCUCAGUAAUCAUUUUGCUGACCGUACAAACAUGUUGAACUCCAUUAACUCCCUUCUGCAGUCUACUUUCCAGGGAGUCUUUGGUUUCAGUUCAUUUCUGUUUUUCCCACAGGUUUGAAAUAUACUUGGUGUUAGCAGAGGCGCGUUUAGAAACUUUUGAAUGGGGGGCGGACUGGGCCACGGAUUCAAAGAAGGGGGGCAAUGACUAAAAAGUCUCAAAUUUAAAGCCGGGUUCUCUGCAAUAAUAAACUGUACAUUAGUAAUAAUAGUAAAAAAUAAAAUCAAUAAAUGGCUGCUAUUUGUAACUCUGAGAUUAGCUUUGAAAUUGGUUCAAGAAGGGAGGAACGAUUGCAGCAACCUGUACUGUUCAAUGUACAUAUAGACAUGUGAGUGUUGUGUUUACCUCAGUGUCAUUAUUCUUUCUUUUGGCAUUUUCCGUAACUAUGUAUAAAUAAAUCAACUCGAGACAAGUUAUUACCUUCAA